Molecule: ribosomal RNA, 263 nt
Filed under: uncultured Streptococcus sp.
Lineage: Bacteria; Bacillati; Bacillota; Bacilli; Lactobacillales; Streptococcaceae
Description: partial 16S ribosomal RNA
Rfam family: Bacterial small subunit ribosomal RNA
Source: RNAcentral
CCAUCAUUCAGUUGGGCACUCUAGCGAGACUGCCGGUAAUAAACCGGAGGAAGUGGGGGAUGACGUCAAAUCAUCAUGCCCCUUAUGACCUGGGCUACACACGUGCUACAAUGGUUGGUACAACGAGUUGCGAGUCGGUGACGGCGGGCUAGUCUCUUAAAGCCAAUCUCAGUUCGGAUUGUAGGCUGCAACUCGCCUACAUGAAGUCGGAAUCGCUAGUAAUCGCGGAUCAGCACGCCGCGGUGAAUACGUUCCCGGGCCUU